Molecule: ribosomal RNA, 1200 nt
Filed under: metagenome
Description: bacterial LSU rRNA
Rfam family: Bacterial large subunit ribosomal RNA
Source: RNAcentral
CUCAAAAUUACCUCGUAACUUCGGAAGAAGAGGUACCCCUUCACGGGGGUUGCAAUAGAUUGACCCUGGCGACUGUUUACCAAAAACACAGGUCUCCGCUAAUUCGUAAGAAAAAGUAUGGGGGCUGACGCCUGCCCAGUGCCGGAAGGUUAAAGAAGUUGGUUAGUCCUUGGACAAAGCUAGCGACUGAAGCCCCGGUGAACGGCGGCCGUAACGAUAACGGUCCUAAGGUAGCGAAAUUCCUUGUCGGGUAAGUUCCGACCCGCACGAAAGGCGUAACGAUCAGGGUACUGUCUCGGAGAGAGGCUCGGCGAAAUAGACAUGUCUGUGAAGAUGCGGACUACCUGCACCUGGACAGAAAGACCCUAUGAAGCUUUACUGUAUCUUGGAAUUGGGUUUGGUCUUUGCAUGCGCAGGAUAGGUGGGAGGCUUUGAAGAUGAUCUUGCGGGGUCGUUGGAGCCACUGGUGAGAUACCACCCUUGCAAUGUUAAAAUCCUAACUUUGCACCGUUAUCCGGUCAAAGAACAGUUUCAGGUGGGCAGUUUGACUGGGGCGGUCGCCUCCUAAAAGGUAACGGAGGCGUGCAAAGGUUCCCUCAGGCUGGUUGGACAUCAGUCGUAGAGUGUAAAGGCAUAAGGGAGCUUGACUGCGAGACCAACAAGUCGAGCAGAGACGAAAGUCGGCCUUAGUGAUCCGGCGCUUCCGAGUGGAAGGGGCGUCGCUCAACGGAUAAAAGUUACUCUAAGGAUAACAGGCUGAUCUCCCCCAAGAGUUCACAUCGACGGGGAGGUUUGGCACCUCGAUGUCGGCUCAUCGCAUCCUGGGGCGGUAGUACGUCCCAAGGGUUGGGCUGUUCGCCCAUGAAAGCGGUACGCGAGCUGGGUUCAGAACGUCGUGAGACAGUUCGGUCCAUAUCCGGUGCAGGCGUUAGAGUAUUGCGAACUCCUCCUUAGUACGAGAGGACCGGGGGGAAUGCACCGCUGGUGUACCAGUUAUCGUGCCAACGGUAAACGCUGGGUAGCCAAGUGCAGUUUGGAUAACUGCUGAAAGCAUCUAAGUAGGAAGCCAGCUUCAAGAUGAGUACUCUCACCGCUUCAAGCGGGUAAGAUCACGGCAAGAACAGCCGUUUGAUAGGCAUCAAGUGUAAGUGCAGUAAUGUAUUCAGCUGAGAUGUACUAAUAGAUCGAGGGCUUAUCAAA